Molecule: ribosomal RNA, 695 nt
Filed under: uncultured Acidobacteriota bacterium
Lineage: Bacteria; Pseudomonadati; Acidobacteriota
Description: bacterial SSU rRNA
Rfam family: Bacterial small subunit ribosomal RNA
Source: RNAcentral
UCCCUUCGGGGAGCAAGUAGAGUGGCGCACGGGUGAGUAACACGUAGGUAAUCUACCUUCGGAUGGGGAAUAACAACCGGAAACGGUUGCUAAUACCGCAUAAUGCAGCGGCACCUAAUGGUGACAGUUGUUAAAGCGGGGGAUCGUAAGACCUCGCGUCUGAAGAGGAGCCUGCGGCGGAUUAGCUAGUUGGUAAGGUAACGGCUUACCAAGGCGAUGAUCCGUAGCCGGCCUGAGAGGGCGGUCGGCCACACUGACACUGACAUACGGGUCAGACUCCUACGGGAGGCAGCAGUCGGGAAUUUUGGGCAAUGGGCGAAAGCCUGACCCAGCAACGCCGCGUGAAGGAUGAAAUCCCUCGGGAUGUAAACUUCGCAAGAACAGGAAGAAUAAGCCGGUGUUAACAUCACCGGCGAUGACGGUACUGUUUGUAAGCUCCGGCUAACUCCGUGCCAGCAGCCGCGGUAAUACGGGGGGAGCAAGCGUUGUUCGGAUUUACUGGGCGUAAAGGGCGCGUAGGCGGCCACCGCAAGUCGACUGUGAAAUCUCCGGGCUUAACUCGGAAAGGUCAGCCGAUACUGCGGGGCUAGAGUGCAGAAGGGGCAACUGGAAUUCUCGGUGUAGCGGUGAAAUGCGUAGAUAUCGGGAGGAACACCUGCGGCGAAGGCGGGUUGCUGGGCUGACACUGACGCUGA